CCUACGGGUGGCAGCAGUGAGGAAUAUUGGUCAAUGGACGAGAGUCUGAACCAGCCAAGUAGCGUGAAGGAUGACUGCCCUAUGGGUUGUAAACUUCUUUUAUAAAGGAAUAAAACGAGGCACGUGUGCCUUUUUGUAUGUACUUUAUGAAUAAGGAUCGGCUAACUCCGUGCCAGCAGCCGCGGUAAUACGGAGGAUCCGAGCGUUAUCCGGAUUUAUUGGGUUUAAAGGGAGCGUAGAUGGGUUGUUAAGUCAGUUGUGAAAGUUUGUGGCUCAACCGUAAAAUUGCAAUUGAUACUGGCAGUCUUGAGUACAGUUGAGGUAGGCGGAAUUCGUGGUGUAGCGGUGAAAUGCUUAGAUAUCACGAAGAACCCCGAUUGCGAAGGCAGCUUACUAAACUGUGACUGACAUUGAUGCUCGAAAGUGUGGGUAUCAAACAGGAUUAGAUACCCCAGUAGUC
This 460-nucleotide ribosomal RNA is filed under the name uncultured bacterium. RNAcentral's name for it is "partial 16S ribosomal RNA". It matches the Rfam family "Bacterial small subunit ribosomal RNA", at positions 338 to 795 of the family's 1533-position model. The record is from RNAcentral.